UGAUCCUCCUGCCUCAGCCUCGAGUAGCUGAGACUACAGGCAGCAUCACGGUCACUGCCGACUUGGCACAGCUGAGCUUCCUCUUGCGGGACAAGCAUCAGGAUUCAGCCCUGACCUGAGGAGCAGGAACCCCAGAAAGGCAAAGGUCUUACCUGGGCUGCACCUGGGAACGGCGGGGUAGGCUGGGCCAGAUGAGGUGGCCUUCCUGUCGAAUAUGGUCCUGCCUGGUGUGUGGGGGACACUGGGACCUGGGGACCUUUAGGGACAGGUGAGCUGCCUGGAGCCCUGUCCAGCUCCUGCCAGAACCAGAUGGGCUGGGUAGGGCUGGUCGGCCCAGUGGUCCCAUCCACUGCAGCCUGCCUUGGCCUCUGGACCCCAGGACUCCCCUCAGAGGCAGGGAGCGCUUGCUGCUGGCCCAGGUGAAUGCAAACCGCUCAGCCCACCUGGCGCUGUGGACCUUGAGGGCUCAGCUGGACGCUGCUCUUGGCCUGCGGGAUCCCAGCUUCUGGGCCGCCAGCUCCACACCAGGCUCAACCACACCGUGCCCGGCCUCAGGCACCAGGGCCUGCCCUCCUUCAUGGAUGGCUGUGGGCCCUUCGGGUGCGUGAGGAGGGGCUGGACCGGCUCCACUUGGGGACGCCCACAGCUCUCUGCUCGAGGGGCAGGACGCCGUCUAGGGGCUGGGCUGACACGAGCCUGGAUGGCAGGCGCCCCCUGCAGCACCAGGGUGGAGGGAGCAGGGCCGAGGGUGACCCCAGUGCCGGGCCUGGGCUGCUGGGUGCCCUGCUGUCCCUGCUGCAGGUGAGUCAGCUUGGUGCCCGUGGGUACCCGGCUGUGGCCGCUUCCUCCAGAUGCCCUUGCUUACCUCCCUGCCCUCCCUGCCCUCCCGUCCACCCGCCUGCUUCCUCUCCUCCUGGCCUCCUCUCUGCACACCUGCCCAGCUUCCUCAUCCGCUCUU
Fukomys damarensis (Damara mole-rat) is the source of this 958-nucleotide long non-coding RNA. RefSeq lists it as uncharacterized. The transcript has 3 exons. The record is from RefSeq and is a predicted model, not a curated record. Lineage: Eukaryota; Metazoa; Chordata; Mammalia; Rodentia; Bathyergidae.